Molecule: transfer RNA, 73 nt
Filed under: Elusimicrobiales bacterium
Lineage: Bacteria; Pseudomonadati; Elusimicrobiota; Elusimicrobia; Elusimicrobiales
Also listed under: 3 other names
Description: tRNA-Arg
Rfam family: tRNA
About the family: Transfer RNA (tRNA) molecules are approximately 80 nucleotides in length. Their secondary structure includes four short double-helical elements and three loops (D, anti-codon, and T loops).
Source: RNAcentral
GCCCCGUUAGCUCAACUGGAUAGAGUACCGGUCUUCGGAACCGGUGGUAUGGGUUCAAAUCCCAUGCGGGGCA